Molecule: ribosomal RNA, 442 nt
Filed under: uncultured soil bacterium
Lineage: Bacteria
Description: bacterial SSU rRNA
Rfam family: Bacterial small subunit ribosomal RNA
Source: RNAcentral
AGAACGAACGCUGGCGGCAGGCCUAACACAUGCAAGUCGAGCGCCCCGCAAGGGGAGCGGCGGACGGGUGAGUAACGCGUGGGAAUUUUUCCUGGAGUACGGAACAACCGAGGGAAACUUCGGCUAAUACCGUAUGAUGCCGAGAGGCCAAAGAUUUAUCGCUCUGGGGUGAGCCCGCGUCAGAUUAGGUAGUUGGUGGGGUAAUGGCCUACCAAGCCUGCGAUCUGUAGCUGGUCUGAGAGGACGAUCAGCCACACUGGGACUGAGACACGGCCCAGACUCCUACGGGAGCAGCAGUGGGAAUCUUGCGCAAUGGGCGAAAGCCUGACGCAGCCAUGCCGCGUGAGUGAAGAAGGUCUUAGGAUUGUAAAGCUCUUUCGCUCGUGACGAUGAUGAACGGUAACGAGAGAAGAACGCCCGACUAACUCGUGCCAGCAGCCGC